GUUAGGAAUAUUGGUCAAUGGACGAAAGUCUGAACCAGCCAUUCCGCGUGCAGGAAGAAGAUUCUAUGGAUUGUAAACUGCUUUUAGCAGAGAAGAAACGCCUUCAUUGAUGAGGGUUUGACGGUAUCUGCGGAAUAAGCACCGGCUAACUCCGUGCCAGCAGCCGCGGUAAUACAGGGGGUGCAAGCGUUAUCCGGAAUCACUGGGUUUAAAGGGUGCGUAGGCGGGAAAUUAAGUCAGUGGUGAAAGUCUGUUGCUUAACGAUAGAAUUGCCGUUGAUACUGAUUUUCUUGAAUUGGGUUGAGGUUAGCGGAAUGUGACAUGUAGCGGUGAAAUGCAUAGAUAUGUCAUGGAACACCAAUUGCGAAGGCAGCUAGCUGGGCCUUGAUUGACGCUGAGGCACGAAAGCGUGGGUAGCGAACAGGAUUAGAUACCCCUGUAGUCC
RNAcentral lists this ribosomal RNA (445 nucleotides) under uncultured bacterium. Its description in RNAcentral is "partial 16S ribosomal RNA". It matches the Rfam family "Bacterial small subunit ribosomal RNA", at positions 354 to 796 of the family's 1533-position model. The record is from RNAcentral.